Molecule: transfer RNA, 125 nt
Filed under: Nostoc punctiforme PCC 73102
Lineage: Bacteria; Bacillati; Cyanobacteriota; Cyanophyceae; Nostocales; Nostocaceae
Description: tRNA-OTHER
Source: RNAcentral
UGGUGGGUAGCUCAGUGGAUAGAGCGCCUAAAUAUCCUUAUUCACCCCUUGCCUGAAAAGGCCGACGAAUCGAGGGUUAUCGCCUGCCAAGCGGGAGGUCGCGGGUUCGAUUCCCGCUCCACUAC